RNAcentral lists this ribosomal RNA (492 nucleotides) under uncultured bacterium. Its description in RNAcentral is "partial 16S ribosomal RNA". It matches the Rfam family "Bacterial small subunit ribosomal RNA", at positions 29 to 507 of the family's 1533-position model. The record is from RNAcentral.
AGUGAACGCUGGCGGUAGGCCUAACACAUGCAAGUCGAACGGCAGCACAGUAAGAGCUUGCUCUUACGGGUGGCGAGUGGCGGACGGGUGAGGAAUACAUCGGAAUCUACUUUUUCGUGGGGGAUAACGUAGGGAAACUUACGCUAAUACCGCAUACGACCUACGGGUGAAAGCAGGGGAUCUUCGGACCUUGCGCGACUGAAUGAGCCGAUGUCGGAUUAGCUAGUUGGGAGGGUAAAGGCCCACCAAGGCGACGAUCCGUAGCUGGUCUGAGAGGAUGAUCAGCCACACUGGAACUGAGACACGGUCCAGACUCCUACGGGAGGCAGCAGUGGGGAAUAUUGGACAAUGGGCGCAAGCCUGAUCCAGCCAUACCGCGUGGGUGAAGAAGGCCUUCGGGUUGUAAAGCCCUUUUGUUGGGAAAGAAAAGCAGCAGGUUAAUACCCCGCUGUUCUGACGGUACCCAAAGAAUAAGCACCGGCUAACUUCGUG